GGAGAGAUGCCCGAGCGGUUGAAGGGGCGCGCCUGGAAAGCGUGUAUACGUCUUACGACGUAUCGAGGGUUCGAAUCCCUCUCUCUCCGCCA
RNAcentral lists this transfer RNA (92 nucleotides) under Gammaproteobacteria bacterium RIFCSPHIGHO2_12_FULL_45_9. RNAcentral's name for it is "tRNA-Ser". It matches the Rfam family "tRNA". From Rfam's summary of the family: Transfer RNA (tRNA) molecules are approximately 80 nucleotides in length. Their secondary structure includes four short double-helical elements and three loops (D, anti-codon, and T loops). The record is from RNAcentral. Lineage: Bacteria; Pseudomonadati; Pseudomonadota; Gammaproteobacteria.